Non-coding RNA from Cronobacter sp., 131 nucleotides. Lineage: Bacteria; Pseudomonadati; Pseudomonadota; Gammaproteobacteria; Enterobacterales; Enterobacteriaceae. The record is from Rfam.
AUCGCUUCUGCGCGGGGAAGGAUGAGAACCUUUGACUAAGGUUCGGGUCGAGCAGAGCGAGACAACGUUGCCGCAGGCAACGGCCCGCAGGGCGAGGCGCGAAGCGUCGAGUAAUCCUUCCCCCACCACCA